GACGAACGCUGGCGGCGUGCUUAACACAUGCAAGUCGAACGAUGAAAGCUGGGGCUUGCUCCGGCUGGAUUAGUGGCGAACGGGUGAGUAACACGUGAGCAAUCUGCCCUUCACUCUGGGAUAACCUCGAGAAAUCGAUGCUAAUACCGGAUACGACGCGCUGGGGCAUCCCAUGCGCGUGGAAAGAAUUUUGGUGAAGGAUGAGCUCGCGGCCUAUCAGCUAGUUGGUGAGGUAAGGGCUCACCGAGGCGACGACGGGUAGCCGGCCUGAGAGGGUGACCGGCCACACUGGGACUGAGACACGGCCCAGACUCCUACGGGAGGCAGCAGUGGGGAAUAUUGCACAAUGGGCGAAAGCCUGAUGCAGCAACGCCGCGUGGGGGAUGGAGGCCUUCGGGUUGUAAACCUCUUUUAGCAGGGAAGAAGCGAAAGUGACGGUACCUGCAGAAAAAGCACCGGCUAACUGCGUGCCAGCCGCCGCCGUAA
RNAcentral lists this ribosomal RNA (486 nucleotides) under uncultured bacterium. RNAcentral describes it as "partial 16S ribosomal RNA". It matches the Rfam family "Bacterial small subunit ribosomal RNA", at positions 28 to 523 of the family's 1533-position model. The record is from RNAcentral.